RNAcentral lists this ribosomal RNA (212 nucleotides) under uncultured bacterium. RNAcentral's name for it is "partial 16S ribosomal RNA". It matches the Rfam family "Bacterial small subunit ribosomal RNA", at positions 524 to 737 of the family's 1533-position model. The record is from RNAcentral.
UACGUAGGGGCAAGCGUUGUCCGGAAUUAUUGGGCGUAAAGAGCGCGUAGGCGGUCCGAUAAGUCGGCUGUGAAAGUCAGGGCUCAACCCUUGAAAGCCGGCCGAUACUGUCGGACUAGAGUCCGGAAGAGGCAAGUGGAAUUCCCGGUGAGCGGUGAAAUGCGCAGAGUAUCGGGAGGAACACCAAUGGCGAAGGCAGCUUGCUGGGACGG